UACAGAACUUCCAUCACAGAGUUUGAUUAUGGGGCUAAGGGUCAUUCAGCAGUGCAUUUUUAUGCUCAUGUUAACACGAGGCUUUUGUAGUGCUGAGAUCAGACUGGACCAGUCUCCUGCUGUGGUAAAGAGACCUGAAGAAUCUGUGAAGAUCUCGUGUAAAAUAAAUGGUUUUGAUAUGACAAGCUAUUACAUACACUGGAUCCGACAGAAACCAGGGAAAGCUCUGGAAUGGGUUGGUAGGAUGAAUGCUGGUACUAAUAAUGCAGAAUAUGCAGAAACUUUGAAGAACCAGUUCACCUUGACAGAAGACGUCCCAGCAAGCACACAGUACUUAGAGGCCAAGAGUCUGAGGACAGAGGACACUGCGGUUUAUUACUGUGCCCGACAAGCCACAGUGACUGGAACUGAGGAAACAGCUGUGCAAAAACCACACUCAUAUUUUUCAUACAGCAUUUUACUGAACGAGUCAUUACUCUUGUCAUUUAUGUAAAUGAUUAAAAUAAUCCCCUCUUACUGUGUUUAAUAAACUGCUCAAUUACAUAUAGUUUUCAAUUGUUUAUAUUACAAACCAGAGACAAAUGAAUAUGUAUUAUACAUUGUAAUGUUUAGUUAUUACGGAGUCUUACUGCAGUAUUCAGAUUCUGUAAAGGUCAGAUGUUAUGAACAUAACAAUAGUUUAUCAUUUCUGAUCACACAUUAUGUCUGUAUACUGUAAAUUUGGCUUUAACAGCUUUAAUCAGUUUAUUUCCAGUUCUCUAAAGGUUUGUGUUCAGGAGUCCACAAUAGAACAAAUGUCUGUGCUCUCAUUAACAGAGAACCAACUCUACUGGAGUGAGAUGUGUAAGGAUAUAUUUACUGUAACUAAAGAUAUAAUCAUUUAAAUUUAUGAGACAUCUAAUUAUUCAUUCAGUCAUCUUAAGUAAACACUUUAUCCUGGUCAGAGUGGUGGAUCCAGAGUCGAUCCAGGAGCACUGAGUGUACACCCUGGACGUAGAGAAGCCGAGUCACCUGCCUCACUCCUGACUUGAUUUCUUAAGGCAGAUUAUUUUAGAAUUUUGAGAAACAGAAGUAGGAGAAGAGAAUAGUUUCAGUGUCGAGCUGCUUAAGGAAAUUAGAUUUUUGCCAUCUGGUCACUAGAUUUAUAGUUAUUUUUUUAUAAUUUAAAACACCUCUUUAGAAUCUUAACAAUCUGCUACUUCACAUGGUAUUCAAAAGUAUUGGAUCGCUGCCAAGCUCCAAAAGUACUGUAAAGCUGCAAAAGCAUUGGAACGCUGUCUAGCUCUAAAAGUAUUGGAAUGCUAUCUAGCUCAAAAAGUAUUACAAUGCUCCCCAGCUCCAAAAGUAUCGGAACGCUGUCUGGUUCUAAAAGUAUUGAAAGGCUCUCUAGCUCCAAAAGUAUUGGGACACUGUAUGGUUCUAAACGUACUGGAACACUAUCUAGCUCCAAAAUUAUUACAAUGCUCCCUAACUCCAAAAGUACUGGAAC
Ictalurus furcatus (blue catfish) is the source of this 1489-nucleotide non-coding RNA. The record is from the annotation of a RefSeq genome assembly. Lineage: Eukaryota; Metazoa; Chordata; Actinopteri; Siluriformes; Ictaluridae.